RNAcentral lists this ribosomal RNA (774 nucleotides) under uncultured Neocallimastigales. RNAcentral's name for it is "partial large subunit ribosomal RNA". It matches the Rfam family "Eukaryotic large subunit ribosomal RNA", at positions 26 to 628 of the family's 3401-position model. Lineage: Eukaryota; Fungi; Neocallimastigomycota; Neocallimastigomycetes; Neocallimastigales. The record is from RNAcentral.
CGCAUCUGUGCAUGCAGCAUAUCAAUAAGCGGAGGAAAAGAAACUAACAAGGAUUCCCCUAGUAACGGCGAGUGAAGCGGGAAGAGCUCAAAUUUGAAAUCUUAAAGGGUUUCCCUUUACGAAUUGUAGUUUAAAGAAGUGUUUUCUGUUGAGGUUUUGGUAAAAGUUCUUUGGAAUAGGACAUCAUAGAGGGUGAGAAUCCCGUAUUUGACCUUUACUUUCAACUUUGUGAUACACUUUCAAAGAGUCGGAUUGUUUGGGAAUGCAGUCCAAAAUGGGUGGUAAAUUUCAUCUAAAGCUAAAUAUUGGCGAGAGACCGAUAGCGAACAAGUACCGUGAGGGAAGGAUGAAAAGAACUUUGAAAAGAGAGUUAAACAGUACGUGAAAUUGUCAAAAGGGAAGCGUUUGACACCAGUGUUGUUUUUCUGAAAAUCAAUUAAAGAACUGUUUAUGCUAAGCUGUUUAGACUUUAUCAGCUAUCUGUUUAGUUUUGAGCUUUUCUUUAAUGCACUUUUCAGUUAACAAGUCAACAUCAAUUUCUUUUGCUGUAAAAAAGCUUGAGGAAGGUGGCUUGAGAUUCGUCUUAAGUGUUUAUAGCCUCUUGCCUAUGCAGUCGGAGAGAUUGAGGUCUGCAGCGUAGAUCCUUCGGGGCUAAAUGCAUUUGUGCUAAGUUAUAGCAUUUUAUAGACAACUUGUUGACUAUGAUUUGUCUUGUAGCUUACUCGCUUAUGUUAUUUUACCUACGCUUAGGAUGUUGAGUCGUAGAGCACGCAG